RNAcentral lists this ribosomal RNA (468 nucleotides) under uncultured bacterium. RNAcentral's name for it is "partial 16S ribosomal RNA". It matches the Rfam family "Bacterial small subunit ribosomal RNA", at positions 28 to 507 of the family's 1533-position model. The record is from RNAcentral.
GACGAACGCUGGCGGCGUGCUUAACACAUGCAAGUCGAACGGAAAGGCCCUGCUUUUGUGGGGUGCUCGAGUGGCGAACGGGUGAGUAACACGUGAGUAACCUGCCCUUGACUUUGGGAUAACUUCAGGAAACUGGGGCUAAUACCGGAUAGGAGCUCCUGCUGCAUGGUGGGGGUUGGAAAGUUUCGGCGGUUGGGGAUGGACUCGCGGCUUAUCAGCUUGUUGGUGGGGUAGUGGCUUACCAAGGCUUUGACGGGUAGCCGGCCUGAGAGGGUGACCGGCCACAUUGGGACUGAGAUACGGCCCAGACUCCUACGGGAGGCAGCGGUGGGGAAGAGUGCACAAUGGGCGGAAGCCUGAUGCAGCAACGCCGCGUGCGGGAUGACGGCCUUCGGGUUGUAAACCGCUUUCGCCUGUGACGAAGCGUGAGUGACGGUAAUGGGUAAAGAAGCACCGGCUAACUACGUG